GAUGAAGAACGUAGUGAAAUGCGAUAAUUAAUGUGAAUUGCAGAAUUCCGUGAAUCAUCGAGUUUUUGAACGCAUAUUGCGCCCCUUGGUAUUCCGAGGGGCAUGCCUGUCCGAGCGUCAUUGCAACCCUUCAAGCACGGCUUGUGUGUUGGACGGCCGCCCCAGUGUGGGCGGGUCCCAAAUGCAGUGGCGGCGCCGCGAUCCGGGUGCUCGAGUGCAUGGAAACCACGCGCUCGUUAGGCCCCGUCGGGCGCCGGCCGACCUAAUUAUCUUCGUUCUGGUUGACCUCGGAUCAGGUAGGAAUACCCGCUGAACUUAAGCAUAUCAAUAAGCGGAGGA
Molecule: unclassified non-coding RNA, 339 nt
Filed under: soil metagenome
Description: partial contains 5.8S ribosomal RNA, internal transcribed spacer 2, and large subunit ribosomal RNA
Rfam family: 5.8S ribosomal RNA (bases 1-120)
Source: RNAcentral